GAACAGCAUGCAGUCCACCAUUCUUUACACUACACAAACAGUUUUCAAUCUUCCUGUGUUUCAGGAACUUUCCAAGGAUGGGAGGAAAGGACCAGCACCUAAACCAGAGAUGCAACUUUCUCCUACAGCAGUCAAUUGCCAAAUCUUGCCAAUUUUAUCUUUCUCUCAAUUCUCCCAUUUCCUCUCUAUUUCUACUACCACCACUCUGGCCUGGGCUCUCAUUGUCUCAUCCCUGGCCUUCCACAAUAACCUCCUCAACUGAUGGUCUUGGCUUUGCUCUGUCUUUCCCAUGUGUGAUCUCUGGACAAAUGCAAGAAUGAACUACUUGAAAAGCAGAUCAAGCCAUACCUGAGACUAUUUCCAGUCAAAGCCCCCUGCCAUGGAACGACUGGCUACAGCUCUCUGUAAUCUAGCCCCAGCCUACUUCUCCAGCCUCGUCUUCCGCCCUUCCCCAGCAUGCACUUUUAACUCCAACAAACCAAGCUGUGUGCAGUUUCAUGUGCCAUGGUGUUUCUUUCCUCCUUGUCUUUGCUCUUGCUGUCCCUUCUGCUUGUCAUGCCCUCCCUACCAUCUCCUCUUCUCAUAGCCUGUUUGAACUCUUACAUCUCAGGUUUUUCCUCUGCCAGGAAAACUUUCCUGUCCUCCUCCCCUCCAGACAAAGUGGCUUAGAUGCCCCUUCCCACAGCUCUCUUGACACCCUGGGCCUGCCUGUCUCUAUCCAUUCAUUCCACCAAGAUCCAUUGAUUGCCUACUACAUGCCAGACAUGGUGCUGGAAACAGCAGUGAUUACAACAAAGAAAAAACCUUUCCUCUUGGAUAUUCAACUCUACUGGCUUAGGUGCCAAGAUCAUCUUCAAUCACAGAGAAGAUUGCAUGAGUUCUGCACGUUCCACCGGAGGACACACGAGGCCUCCCUUUCAAGCUCACCUCUAGUCACUCCUCAGAGUGCAUCCUGCCUGCUACCCCACACGCCUAUGGACAUGCCAUGCUCUUUUCUCCUUUCUGC
This 1006-nucleotide long non-coding RNA is filed under the name Homo sapiens (human). RNAcentral's name for it is "HSALNT0364971". Lineage: Eukaryota; Metazoa; Chordata; Mammalia; Primates; Hominidae. The record is from RNAcentral.